CCAUAAUAAAAAAAAAAAGGAAAGGGAAAACCGAAGUUCGCGCUGGUCAAUCUCCAUCCUCCUCAUUUUGUUCUUCUUCAUCAAUUCAUUUGAUCUCCCCUCCAGCCAUUGCGCUUCUAUAGCAAAAUCCUCAUAGGAACCUUGUUGAAAAUUUGGACAUGAACCAAAAAUGCUAUGGAAGCUUUUGUGCAUGCCCAUGAUCCCUUGAUAUAAUGCAAUUUAUUGUUGAUUUUGAUAGUGUUGUUCUUGCAAAAUUGCAUCUAUCUUUGGUUUGAUGGUUCCUCUAUGGGAAGGUUAGGAAGAUGGACCAACAUCUUCAAACUUCUUCCUUAGCUCAUCUUUAGCAUAUGCAAUGCUUCAUUCUUUGCAAUAAGUGUGGACGUAGGAGACAUUUAAUUUUAAUUUUAAAGCCAUAACCUCCCCAUAUGGGCUAGGUGCUUGUUGGUACCUACAAAAAUUAGUAAUAAAGGAAGGCAAAAUCAUAGAAGAUACUCCCCUUGUGAUGCAUUCUAAAAUUGCAUCAAAAUUGAUGGCAGCAAUGUCUACGGAGUCAUCUUAAUAGAUUGAGUUGAUGAGUUUGGCUUUGUCAAUUGUGAUGUCUAAAACAUGUACAGAUAUCCAAAUGUUAGAUAACAAAAAAGUGGUCCAUAUCUGAGACAUCUGAGUCAUGCAAAACUUGAACACUGGACCACUUUUGUUGACCUACAGUCCUUGCAGGCAUAGGCUUCUUCUAACCAUAGCUUCAUCAUGUCCUACUCAUUCAACAGAUAAAGUUGCACUUAUCUUUUCUUGGUAAGCACAUAAGUCGUGUUCAUUACUUGGAUAAGGAGUACAUGUGUUGUCAAGGUAGUCAUUAAUCAUGUACUUAUCAUAAUAUACUUGUUCUCCAUUAACCCAUAUAUAUCGAUUUGCCCUUGCUUCACUUGAGACAAUUGAUUUGACAUAAAAUUGCUUGACAAUAUCCAAAGAGAACAUAUUAUUGGGUUGUGCAACAUUUUUCCAUCCAUACUUGUCAACAAGAAGUUGAACCCACCGAAUUCUUCUUCUUCUUCUAAAGUGACAAUAUUUUCCAAGAUUGGUGCACUUUUGAGAGUAAUCUCCUUGAACUUUUGAUUUGCUUCUUUAGAGAAAAAUGUUUUGCCUUUGGAGGUUAAUUUAGACUCUUUGGCAACCUCCUUGCCUUUCCUUGAAGAAUGCCUUUCACUCAUACAAAAUUUUAUUAACAUGCAAUUUCCAAUGCUAGGAGUUAGUCACAUAAAUUCAAGACAUAAUUAAUCAAAUUGGCACACAAGUUUUCCAUGCUCCAUACGGUUUCUUAUUAAAUUCAAGGUGUAAAAGUGUUUCAAAAAUUUUGUGUGUGAAGUUUUAUUUUGAUCAAAAUAACCCCAUAAUCACACUUUUUCAACCAAAGAAUCAUAUUUUCAACACUUUCACAAAAAGUACUCCAAGUAAAAAAAUUCAAGAUCAUUGCUUGUAGUAUGAAUUCCCAAACAGCCACAUACUCAAAUUGAUGCAUCAAAGCAGAAUUAUUUGAUGUUUCUUAAGGCUAUUGGUUCAUGAAAAAUUAGCAAUACAAGACAAAGUUUACAAGGAAAGUGCAAGUUUUUCCAAGGUAGUCAAUUUUGAGCAAUUAUCGACAUUUUUAUUGUUGUUUAUGGAAUGUUUUAAAUGUGUUUCAUGCCAAAUCAAAUCAUAUUUAAAGCCACAAAACAAAUUUCAAUGUGGUUUAAACUUUUGAUAUUUUGAACAUGAUUUUAGCUACAAACUUAUUCGACUUACCAAGUAUUUUCAUCAUCUGGUUGAACCACUUUUCGAACAUUUUGGCUAGCGAAACAACAACCCCUUUUUCAUUCUUUUAUGCAUCAUGAACUAAGUUAAGUUAAGUUAAAAGUGGUCACAAAUUUUGUGAUUCAACCAAAUGCAUAAUGUGAGAUAAUCUAGAAAAAAUUUCAAAGUCAAAACAUAGAUUUUUUUACUUUGUGAAAAUUUUCACGUGAGCUUAGUUUAGUCAUGUCUUAAAAACAGCAAACACGCAUAUUCAUAUGCAAAAAUAAGUAAAAGCAAGCAUUAUGUAUAUAUUCUUCACAAGAGUUCAAGAAUAUAAAGUUUUAUAAUUGUUGAUUUGAGAUUUUGUUUGAAAAAAAAAAUUAAUUUUGUUUUUUAGAAAAUUUCAAAAAAAUAUUUGUUUCAAGGAAGAACAUAAAAUGACAAAAAUCAAAGCUUCAUAAGAAGAAGAUUGAGAUACUUACAUAAUGAGAGAAUGAAAUUUGAACUUUUUGAGAGCUUUUGGAGAGAAGGGAAAAGAUAUCAAAAUGAGAGUUAUUAGUCCUAGGAAGUGAGUCAAGU
Molecule: long non-coding RNA, 2346 nt
Filed under: Lupinus angustifolius (narrow-leaved blue lupine)
Lineage: Eukaryota; Viridiplantae; Streptophyta; Magnoliopsida; Fabales; Fabaceae
Description: long non-coding RNA (LANG_LNC000297)
Source: RNAcentral